Molecule: ribosomal RNA, 816 nt
Filed under: uncultured bacterium
Lineage: Bacteria
Description: bacterial SSU rRNA
Rfam family: Bacterial small subunit ribosomal RNA
Source: RNAcentral
UGCAAGUCGGACGGGAUUUGGGAGCUUGCUCCUAAUGAGAGUGGCGCACGGGUGCGUAACACGUAUGUAACCUACCUUCAUCAGGGGGAUAGCCUCUCGAAAGAGAGAUUAACACCGCAUAACAUCAUAGAGCAGCAUUGCUUAGUGAUCAAAUAUUUAUAGGAUGAAGAUGGGCAUGCGGGACAUUAGCUAGAUGGUGAGGUAACGGCUCACCAUGGCGACGAUGUCUAGGGGAUCUGAGAGGAUGACCCCCCACACUGGUACUGAGACACGGCCCAGACUCCUACGGGAGGCAGCAGUGGGGAAUUUUGGACAAUGGGCGAAAGCCUGAUCCAGCAAUGCCGUGUGUGUGAAGAAGGCCUUCGGGUUGUAAAGCACUUUUGUUCGGGAAGAAAAGGUUCGGACUAAUACUCUGAGCUGAUGACGGUACCGGAAGAAUAAGCACCGGCUAACUACGUGCCAGCAGCCGCGGUAAUACGUAGGGUGCAAGCGUUAAUCGGAAUUACUGGGCGUAAAGCGUGCGCAGGCGGUUUUGUAAGACUGUCGUGAAAUCCCCGGGCUCAACCUGGGAAUGGCGAUGGUGACUGCAAGGCUAGAGUUUGGCAGAGGGGGGUAGAAUUCCACGUGUAGCAGUGAAAUGCGUAGAUAUGUGGAGGAACACCGAUGGCGAAGGCAGCCCCCUGGGUCAAAACUGACGCUCAUGCACGAAAGCGUGGGGAGCAAACAGGAUUAGAUACCCUGGUAGUCCACGCCCUAAACGAUGUCUACUAGUUGUCGGGUUUUAAUUAACUUGGUAACGCAGCUAACGCGUGAAGU